CAGCAGCCGCGGUAAUACGGAGGGAGCUAGCGUUGUUCGGAACUACUGGGCGUAAAGCGUGCGUAGGCGGCUUUUUAAGUCGGAUGUGAAAUCCCUGAGCUUAACUUAGGAAUUGCAUUCGAUACUGGGAAGCUAGAGUAUGGGAGAGGAUGGUAGAAUUCCAGGUGUAGCGGUGAAAUGCGUAGAGAUCUGGAGGAAUACCGAUGGCGAAGGCAGCCAUCUGGCCUAAUACUGACGCUGAGGUACGAAAGCAUGGGGAGCAAACAGGAUUAGAUACCCCCGUAGUCCCUGUCUCUUAUAC
RNAcentral lists this ribosomal RNA (301 nucleotides) under uncultured bacterium. RNAcentral's name for it is "partial 16S ribosomal RNA". It matches the Rfam family "Bacterial small subunit ribosomal RNA", at positions 509 to 807 of the family's 1533-position model. The record is from RNAcentral.